AGUUAGUUUGAUGUUAGGGUUAAUGAAUGUUGUCCUUGCUGUACCCCAUAGUUAGUGUAGGAAGGUCUGUAGCAAUCUCCCAUGGCACUUCCUUUGACUAGCGUAGGAAGGUCUGUAGCAACCUCACUUCCUUUGACCAGCGUAGGAAGGUCUGUAGCAACCUCACUUCCUUUGACCAGCAUAGGAAGGUCUGUAGCAACCUCACUUCCUUUGACCAGCGUAGGAAGGUCUGUAGCAACCUCACUUCCUUUGACCAGCGUAGGAAGGUCUGUAGCAACCUCACUUCCUUUGACCAGCGUAGGAAGGUCUUUAGCAUUCUCACUUCCUUUGACCAGCGUAGGAAGUUCUGUAGCAAACUCACUUCCUUUGACCAGCGUAGGAAGGUCUGUAGCAAUCUCACUUCCUUUGACUAGCGUAGGAAGGUCUGUAGCAACCUCACUUCCU
This is a long non-coding RNA of Oncorhynchus tshawytscha (Chinook salmon), 444 nucleotides long. Lineage: Eukaryota; Metazoa; Chordata; Actinopteri; Salmoniformes; Salmonidae. The record is from Ensembl.